Molecule: ribosomal RNA, 860 nt
Filed under: Cellulosimicrobium cellulans
Lineage: Bacteria; Bacillati; Actinomycetota; Actinomycetes; Micrococcales; Promicromonosporaceae
Description: bacterial SSU rRNA
Rfam family: Bacterial small subunit ribosomal RNA
Source: RNAcentral
AGAGUGCGGUAGGGAAGACUGGAAUGCCUGGUGUAGCGGUGGAAUGCGCAGAUAUCAGAGGAACACCGAUGGCGAAGGCAGGUCUCUAGGCCGCAACUGACGCUGAGGAGCGAAAGCAUGGGGAGCGAACAGGAUUAGAUACCCUGGUAGUCCAUGUCGUAAACGUUGGGCACUAGGUGUGGGGCUCAUUCCACGAGUUCCGUGCCGCAGCAAACGCAUUAAGUGCCCCGCCUGGGGAGUACGGCCGCAAGGCUAAAACUCAAAGGAAUUGACGGGGGCCCGCACAAGCGGCGGAGCAUGCGGAUUAAUUCGAUGCAACGCGAAGAACCUUACCAAGGCUUGACAUGCACGGGAAGCCACCAGAGAUGGUGGUCUCUUUGGGCACUCGUGCACAGGUGGUGCAUGGUUGUCGUCAACUCGUGUCGUGAGAUGUUGGGUUAAGUCCCGCAACGAGCGCAACCCUCGUCCCAUGUUGCCAGCGGGUUAUGCCGGGGACUCAUGGGAGACUGCCGGGGUCAACUCGGAGGAAGGUGGGGAUGACGUCAAAUCAUCAUGCCCCUUAUGUCUUGGGCUUCACGCAUGCUACAAUGGCCGGUACAAAGGGCUGCGAUACCGUAAGGUGGAGCGAAUCCCAAAAAGCCGGUCUCAGUUCGGAUUGGGGUCUGCAACUCGACCCCACGAAGUCGGAGUCGCUAGUAAUCGCAGAUCAGCAACGCUGCGGUGAAUAUGUUCCCGGGCCUUGUACACACCGCCCGUCAAGUCACGAAAGUCGGUAACAUCCGAAGCCCAUGGCCCAACCGUCCGCGGGGGGAGUGGUCGAAGGUGGGACUGGCGACUGGGGUGAAGUCGUAACAAGGUAG